GCAUAUCAAUAAGCGGAGGAAAAGAAACCAACAGGGAUUGCCCCAGUAACGGCGAGUGAAGCGGCAACAGCUCAAAUUUGAAAGCUGGCUUCGGCCCGCGUUGUAAUUUGGAGAGGAUGCUUUGGGCGAGGCUCCUUCUGAGUUCCCUGGAACGGGACGCCACAGAGGGUGAGAGCCCCGUAUAGUUGGAAGCCAAGCCUGUGUAAAGCUCCUUCGACGAGUCGAGUAGUUUGGGAAUGCUGCUCAAAAUGGGAGGUAAAUUUCUUCUAAAGCUAAAUACCGGCCAGAGACCGAUAGCGCACAAGUAGAGUGAUCGAAAGAUGAAAAGCACUUUGAAAAGAGGGUUAAAUAGCACGUGAAAUUGUUGAAAGGGAAGCGCUUGUGACCAGACUUGCGCCCGGCGGAUCAUCCGGUGUUCUCACCGGUGCACUCCGCCGGGCUCAGGCCAGCAUCGGUUCUGGCGGGGGGAUAAAGGCCCGGGGAAUGUGGCUCCUCCGGGAGUGUUAUAGCCCCGGGUGCAAUACCCUCGCCGGGACCGAGGACCGCGCUCUGCAAGGAUG
RNAcentral lists this ribosomal RNA (560 nucleotides) under Thermochaetoides dissita. Its description in RNAcentral is "Chaetomiaceae sp. XWW-2019i partial 28S ribosomal RNA". It matches the Rfam family "Eukaryotic large subunit ribosomal RNA", at positions 38 to 625 of the family's 3401-position model. Lineage: Eukaryota; Fungi; Ascomycota; Sordariomycetes; Sordariales; Chaetomiaceae. The record is from RNAcentral.